GACGAACGCUGGCGGCGUGCCUAAUACAUGCAAGUAGAACGCACAGUUUAUACCGUAGCUUGCUACACCAUAGACUGUGAGUUGCGAACGGGUGAGUAACGCGUAGGUAACCUGCCUGGUAGCGGGGGAUAACUAUUGGAAACGAUAGCUAAUACCGCAUAAUAUUGAUUAUUGCAUGAUAAUUGAUUGAAAGAUGCUAUUGCAUCACUACCAGAUGGACCUGCGUUGUAUUAGCUAGUAGGUGAGGUAACGGCUCACCUAGGCGACGAUACAUAGCCGACCUGAGAGGGUGAACGGCCACACUGGGAAUGAGACACGGCCCAGACUCCUACGGGAGGCAGCAGUAGGGAAUCUUCGGCAAUGGACGAAAGUCUGACCGAGCAACGCCGCGUGAGUGAAGAAGGUUUUCGGAUCGUAAAGCUCUGUUGUAAGAGAAGAACGGGUGUGAGAGUGGAAAGUUCACACUGUGACGGUAUCUUACCAGAAAGGGACGGCUAACUACGUG
This 505-nucleotide ribosomal RNA is filed under the name uncultured bacterium. RNAcentral describes it as "partial 16S ribosomal RNA". It matches the Rfam family "Bacterial small subunit ribosomal RNA", at positions 28 to 507 of the family's 1533-position model. The record is from RNAcentral.